CAAUAGCGUAUAUUAAAGUUGUUGCGGUUAAAAGCUCGUAGUUGGAUUUCUGCCGAGGACGUCCGGUCCGCCCUCUGGGUGAGUACAUGGCACGGCCUGGGCAUCUUCUUGGGGAACGUAUCUGCACUUGACUGUGUGGUGCGGUAUCCAGGACUUUUACUUUGAGGAAAUUAGAGUGUUUCAAGCAGGCACACGCCUUGAAUACAUUAGCAUGGAAUAAUAAGAUAGGACCGCGUGGUCGUCUUGUUGGUUUGCACCGCGAGGUAAUGAUUAAUAGGUACAGUUGGGGGUAUUCGUAUUUAAUUGUCAGAGGUGAAAUUCUUGGAUUUAUGAAAGACGAACUUCUGCGAAAGCAUUUACCAAGGAUGUUUUCAUUAAUCAAGAACGAAAGUUAGGGGAUCGAAGAUGAUUAGAUACCGU
This 420-nucleotide ribosomal RNA is filed under the name uncultured eukaryote. Its description in RNAcentral is "bacterial SSU rRNA". It matches the Rfam family "Eukaryotic small subunit ribosomal RNA", at positions 592 to 1018 of the family's 1831-position model. The record is from RNAcentral.